UAAUGUCUGGGAAACUGCCUGAUGGAGGGGGAUAACUACUGGAAACGGUAGCUAAUACCGCAUAACGUCGCAAGACCAAAGAGGGGGACCUUCGGGCCUCUUGCCAUCAGAUGUGCCCAGAUGGGAUUAGCUAGUAGGUGGGGUAACGGCUCACCUAGGCGACGAUCCCUAGCUGGUCUGAGAGGAUGACCAGCCACACUGGAACUGAGACACGGUCCAGACUCCUACGGGAGGCAGCAUG
This 241-nucleotide ribosomal RNA is filed under the name uncultured bacterium. RNAcentral's name for it is "partial 16S ribosomal RNA". It matches the Rfam family "Bacterial small subunit ribosomal RNA", at positions 111 to 353 of the family's 1533-position model. The record is from RNAcentral.